CGUGCUUAAUACAUGCAAGUCAACUUGACUUUAGAUAGCAAUAUCGAAAAGUAGGGUGGCGCACGGGUGCGUAACGCGUAGGUAUCUGCCCUGAGGUCUGACAUAACCCGUCGAAAGGCGGGCUAACAUCAGAUGAUAUAUAAUCACGACAUCGUGGAAAUAUCAAAUCUUCGGAGCCUUGGGAUGAGCCUGCGUCUGAUUAGGUAGUUGGCGGAGUAAUAGCCCACCAAGCCUACGAUCAGUAGCUGGUCUGAGAGGAUGAUCAGCCACACUGGAACUGAGACACGGUCCAGACUCCUACGGGAGGCAGCAGUAAGGAAUAUUGCUCAAUGGGGGAAACCCUGAAGCAGCAACGCCGCGUGAAGGAUGAAAUACUUUUGUAUGUAAACUUCUGUAAGAUGGGAAAAAUAUUCUCCUCGGGAGAACUGAUUGUACCAUCAGAGUAAGCCCCGGCUAACUACGUG
This 464-nucleotide ribosomal RNA is filed under the name uncultured bacterium. Its description in RNAcentral is "bacterial SSU rRNA". It matches the Rfam family "Bacterial small subunit ribosomal RNA", at positions 43 to 507 of the family's 1533-position model. The record is from RNAcentral.